RNAcentral lists this ribosomal RNA (238 nucleotides) under uncultured bacterium. RNAcentral describes it as "partial 16S ribosomal RNA". It matches the Rfam family "Bacterial small subunit ribosomal RNA", at positions 524 to 760 of the family's 1533-position model. The record is from RNAcentral.
UACAGAGGUCUCAAGCGUUGUUCGGAUUCAUUGGGCGUAAAGGGUGCGUAGGUGGCGCCGUAAGUCGGGUGUGAAAUUUCGGAGCUUAACUCCGAAACUGCAUUCGAUACUGGCGACCUUGAGUCCGGGAGAGGUGAGUGGAACUCCGAGUGUAGAGGUGAAAUCGUAGAUAUUCGGAAGAACACCAGUGGCGAAGGCGGCUCACUGGCCCCGGUACUGACGCUGAGGGUGCGAAAAG